CUUAUCAAGAGUGGUGGAGGGACCGGCCCGACGAUACCACGGCAACCUGCCCAAGGCAAGGUGCCAAAUCCGGCGGAAACGCAAGAUGAGGAAGAU
This 96-nucleotide non-coding RNA is filed under the name pig gut metagenome. Its description in RNAcentral is "SAM riboswitch (S box leader)". It matches the Rfam family "SAM riboswitch aptamer (S box leader)". Rfam says of the family: The SAM riboswitch is found upstream of a number of genes which code for proteins involved in methionine or cysteine biosynthesis in Gram-positive bacteria. The SAM riboswitch acts at the level of transcription termination control. The record is from RNAcentral.